This 30-nucleotide non-coding RNA is filed under the name Mus musculus (house mouse). The record is from RNAcentral. Lineage: Eukaryota; Metazoa; Chordata; Mammalia; Rodentia; Muridae. RNAcentral also lists the same sequence under 1 other name.
UAAUAAACAGACAUUGCUGGCUUUUCUUGU